Passer domesticus (house sparrow) is the source of this 613-nucleotide long non-coding RNA. RefSeq lists it as uncharacterized. Lineage: Eukaryota; Metazoa; Chordata; Aves; Passeriformes; Passeridae. The transcript has 2 exons. The record is from RefSeq and is a predicted model, not a curated record.
UUUUCAUUCCUCCAGGGGUUACUUGAGGUCAUUUUAGACCCUCUUUGGGGGUUACUUCAGGUCACAGGGGUCAUUUGAGGUCAUUUGAGGCCCUGAUCGGGGUUACUUCAGGUCACAGGGGUCAUUUGAGGCCCUGAUCGGGGUUACUUCAGGUCACAGGGGUUAUUUGAGGUCAUUUAUGUAUUUUUUAAUUGACCUGGGGGUUACUUGAGGUCAUUUGUGUCCCCAUUAAUUGAUUGCGGGGUCAGAUGUGGACACAGGGGCUCCUUGAGGUCAUUUGUGUCCCCAUUAAUUGAUCUGGGGCUCAAGUGGGGACACGGGGGUUAAUUCUUACGAGCUGUGGCCAAACAGGAAGGGACACUUUGGUGUAAUGGACCAAACAGUGCCAGUCCAGUCCAGGGGAGCCCAAGGCCUCAGGUGACCCCAGUGGUGUCACCCAUCCUCUGCCCUCUGUCCUCUCAGCAUGGUGACAAGGGCCCAGUUAUUAGCUUUAUUAAUAUUUAUUAUUCAUUUAUUGUAUUAGCAUUUAUUGUCAUCUCCUGUAAGCAUCAGCAUCUACAGAAUUGGUGUUAGCUAUUAAUACAAUCAUCAAUAAAUUCUACUGUUGGGAUUA